Molecule: ribosomal RNA, 117 nt
Filed under: Sinocyclocheilus rhinocerous
Lineage: Eukaryota; Metazoa; Chordata; Actinopteri; Cypriniformes; Cyprinidae
Source: RNAcentral
GCCGGCAGCCAUAUCACCCUGUAGCCCAAGACUAUUUACCCACUGAAGCUAAGCAGGGCUGAGCCUGGUCAGUACCUGGAUGGGAGACCUCCUGAGAAAACUAGGUUGCUGCUGGAA